UAACGACUCUGGCAACGGAUAUCUCGGCUCUCGCAUCGAUGAAGAACGUAGCGAAAUGCGAUACUUGGUGUGAAUUGCAGAAUCCCGUGAACCAUCGAGUCUUUGAACGCAAGUUGCGCCCGAAGCCUUCAGGCCAAGGGCACGUCUGCCUGGGCGUCACGCA
Molecule: ribosomal RNA, 163 nt
Filed under: Glossostigma drummondii
Lineage: Eukaryota; Viridiplantae; Streptophyta; Magnoliopsida; Lamiales; Phrymaceae
Description: 5.8S ribosomal RNA
Rfam family: 5.8S ribosomal RNA
About the family: 5.8S ribosomal RNA (5.8S rRNA) is a component of the large subunit of the eukaryotic ribosome. It is transcribed by RNA polymerase I as part of the 45S precursor that also contains 18S and 28S rRNA. Functionally, it is thought that 5.8S rRNA may be involved in ribosome translocation.
Source: RNAcentral